GAUGAACGCUGGCGGCGUGCCUAAUACAUGCAAGUCGAGCGAACAGACGAGGAGCUUGCUCCUCUGACGUUAGCGGCGGACGGGUGAGUAACACGUGGAUAACCUACCUAUAAGACUGGGAUAACUUCGGGAAACCGGAGCAAAUACCGGAUAAUAUAUUGAACCGCAUGGUUCAAUAGUGAAAGACGGUUUUGCUGUCACUUAUAGAUGGAUCCGCGCCGCAUUAGCUAGUUGGUAAGGUAACGGCUUACCAAGGCAACGAUGCGUAGCCGACCUGAGAGGGUGAUCGGCCACACUGGAACUGAGACACGGUCCAGACUCCUACGGGAGGCAGCAGUAGGGAAUCGUCCGCAAUGGGCGAAAGCCUGACGGAGCAACGCCGCGUGAGUGAUGAAGGUCUUCGGAUCGUAAAACUCUGUUAUUAGGGAAGAACAAAUGUGUAAGUAACUAUGCACGUCUUGACGGUACCUAAUCAGAAAGCCACGGCUAACUACGUG
Molecule: ribosomal RNA, 497 nt
Filed under: uncultured bacterium
Lineage: Bacteria
Description: partial 16S ribosomal RNA
Rfam family: Bacterial small subunit ribosomal RNA
Source: RNAcentral